Non-coding RNA from Meleagris gallopavo (turkey), 1123 nucleotides. Lineage: Eukaryota; Metazoa; Chordata; Aves; Galliformes; Phasianidae. The record is from RefSeq and is a predicted model, not a curated record.
CCGCGGCUGCCAGUGACGGGCGGCUGGUCCGCCAGGCCGCCCUCUGCCGGCGCCGCGCGGUCCUUAGCCUGUAAGAUGGCCCCUGUGUGCGUCCCGUCGUGCUGCUCCUGAGCUCCGGGAGCGUGCGGCGUCGUGUUCGGGUCCUCGGAGCGCUGAGUGAGCGCUGAGGUGACCCCGACCGGGCCUGAUGACGGGGUUAUGGAAAGUGGGUUAGCAGAAAAAACACCUCGUUUAAAGGGAGAACAAAAAGGAAGUUGCCUGUGUACACCUGUGGCGGCUGACAGCAGCGUCCUAACAGGAUAGCGCCUCAGAUCAGUGGUGCUGCCAGCCUGGCUUGGGAUGGGAUUUAUAUUCUAUCUCGGCUUUGGGGCUUCUUCGUUUGCUCGUUGCUUUUCUUCUGCUAUGCUUUGCUAUGCUCUGAGAAUGCCAGUGUGUCUCCUUGUAGAGCCUGACUUAGAGACAGCAGUUUAUCUCCAGAACCCAGCUGCCUAAAGAGUGGACUUCGGUUCAUAUUCCCUCCAGGUUAGUGUUUAAGCUGUGAGUCACCCGCAAAAGCAAUUUCCUGGCAAUUAAAAUUAGGCCAUUAAGAAAGGUUUUUACAUGUAACACAUCUGAAUGGGCUUGUUACAGACUUUCUUCCCCGCUCCCCAUGAAAAAUCCCUUAGAAAUCUAUGUUGUGUCUCCAUGGUCUCUGUAUCCUCGGCUAACACUGAUCUGCUCUCUUAGCCUCUGAGGCCCAGGUCAUGUGAGAACCAGCAUAUCUUGUUAGCUAAGUGUGGUACAGCAUUCUAUCUGCCAUCAGUAAGUGACACAGAACAAGCAUCACUCUACCUGAGUUGUCAAGAUGUUAAAAUAGCUGACUUCCAGUACAUUGCCUGUGUUUUACAAUCUGCAUGCUAUUGCUGACAAAUAAUAAGUAGUUAUGUGGGCUUGGAUUUUUGCUGGCUGUUUUCUCCUCAGUUUUCAAGUUACUGUGGUGUUCUGCAUCGUAGAGUCGUGGAAUCCUUAAAGUUGGAAUGGAACUCUGAGUGCCUCCUAGUCUCACUCCCCUGCAAUGUACAGGGGCACCACAGCUAGAUCAGGUUGCCCAGGGACUGAUCCAGCCUUGCCUUGAAAGUCUCCA